CGGCGGAUAACUCAGUUGGUCAGAGUGACAAGCCCUAUGUUGUGGUUGUGGGUUCGAGUCCCACUCCGCCAG
Molecule: transfer RNA, 72 nt
Filed under: Splendidivirga corallicola
Lineage: Bacteria; Pseudomonadati; Bacteroidota; Cytophagia; Cytophagales; Splendidivirgaceae
Description: tRNA-OTHER
Rfam family: tRNA
About the family: Transfer RNA (tRNA) molecules are approximately 80 nucleotides in length.
Source: RNAcentral